GACGAACGCUGGCGGCGCGCUUAACACAUGCAAGUCGAACGGAAAGGCCUGCUUUCCCUUGUGGAUUGCGGGUACUCGAGUGGCGAACGGGUGAGUAACACGUGAGUGAUCUGCCCCCAACUUGGGUAUAAGCCUGGGAAACUGGGUCUAAUUCCCGAUAGGACUGCAGGGUGGUGCCUGUGGUGGAAAACGAUUUUCUAGUGGUUGGGGGUGAGCUGGCGGCCUAUCAGCUUGUUGGUGGGGUAAUGGCCUACCACGGCGGCGACGCGUAGCCGGCCGGGGAGGGUCGACGGUCACACUGGGACAGGGUUACGGCCCAGACGGGUGCGAGAAGCAGCAGUUGGGACUCUUGGAGCGUGGGCGUAACGGUGAAGCACCGAGUGCGCGUGGGAGAUCACCGGAUCGGGGUUGUCUGCUCCUUUCGAACGCGAGAUAUGUACCUGGUUGUAAGGGUGGUGACGGUAGUUGUAGAAAAAGCACCGGCUAACUACGUG
RNAcentral lists this ribosomal RNA (494 nucleotides) under uncultured bacterium. RNAcentral's name for it is "partial 16S ribosomal RNA". It matches the Rfam family "Bacterial small subunit ribosomal RNA", at positions 28 to 507 of the family's 1533-position model. The record is from RNAcentral.